AUGUACCUACAGAAAACACGUCAAUCAGUGAAUUUGCAAGGCGUGGGGUUGGGGGGCCCCCAAGGGCACAUAAAACCUAUUGGAGACAAGCAGUGUCGCCUGUCCAGAUGGCCGCACCCACUAUUUCUCAUACGGCCUGCCCUGGGUUUGAAGCAGAGUCGCUGCUCAGUAUAUAUUGGUAAAGAAGAAACAGUGAACAAUUUCCUGGGAGAGGAACCCAAGAGGUGAAGAGGAACCCAAGAGGCAAAGAGGAACCCAAGUGAUAUGGGGGCAAGUUUUCCACAUGGAAAAGCCUCCAUUCAGCAGGGAACUCAGAUCUGCCAGAGAAUAAAUACGAGUGAAACUUAAAAAACAUGAGGGUGGAAGCCGACAUUAAAGCAACGCCCACCAGCAACUCAUUGAGAAUAAAGCCCUCCUGAGUGUAGCAAGUUAAUAGUGUCUAUCACCCUCUUGGAAACCUAGCCUGGGAAGACGAGGGACCGGGGCCAGGUACCAAACAUUGCUUGAAGAAGUAAUGGUGUGUGGUGGCAUCUGAUUGGCCCACUCUCCAUCAAGAUGUGUGAAUCUACAGGAGAAACCCCCGUGCAUGUCCCCACCUCACCUCCCAUAGGAAGUGAAAGCCUGUGCCUGCUGCUUGUCAGUCUGAUGCAGUGGUUCUCAACUGCGCCAACUCUGUCCUCCCAGGGGGCAUUUGAUAAUGUCUGAGGACACUUUCUGUUGUCACAUUUUUUGUGGAGGGGGGCUGGGUGGGGAUGCUUCCGGCAUCUAAUAGGUAAAUGUCAGGAAAGGAAAGUGAAGUCGCCAGUCGUGUCCAACUUUGCAACCCCAUGGACUGUAGCAUACGAGGCUCCUUCAUCCAUGGGAUCUUCCAGGCAAGGGUACUGGAGGUUGCCAUUUCCAUCUUCAGAGGAUCUUCCCACCCAGGGAUCAAACCUGGGUCUCCCAUAUUGCAGGCAGACGCUUUACCAUCUGAGCCACCAGGGAGGCCCAGGUAAAUGUCAGGGGUCUUGCUAAUUUUCUCACAGAGCACAGCAAAGAGCUGCCCAGCCCUGAGUGUCAGCAGUGCUGGAGUUGA
RNAcentral lists this long non-coding RNA (1075 nucleotides) under Bos grunniens (domestic yak). RNAcentral's name for it is "lncRNA (ENSBGRG00000012834.1)". The record is from RNAcentral. Lineage: Eukaryota; Metazoa; Chordata; Mammalia; Artiodactyla; Bovidae.